UACAGAGGGUGCGAGCGUUAAUCGGAUUUACUGGGCGUAAAGGGUGCGUAGGCGGUUCGGUAUGUCAGGCGUGAAAUCUCACCGUCCAACGGUGAAACUGCGUUUGAAACUGCCGGACUAGAGUACAGGAGGGGAGAGCGGAAUUCUCGGUGUAGCGGUGAAAUGCGUAGAUAUCGAGAAGAACACCGGCGGCGAAGGCGGCUCUCUGGACUGAUACUGACGCUGAGGCACGAAAGCUGGGGGAGCGAACAGG
This 253-nucleotide unclassified non-coding RNA is filed under the name uncultured bacterium. RNAcentral describes it as "contains 16S-23S intergenic spacer region". It matches the Rfam family "Bacterial small subunit ribosomal RNA", at positions 524 to 776 of the family's 1533-position model. The record is from RNAcentral.